CUCCCACCCGGCGGAGGCGGGGCGGCUGAGCCUCUACCCGGCUGGCGGAGGUCCCCGCGCGGACCCGGCUGCGGGAGCUGCACGUUUGAACUCCAGAACAAGGGUCUUUAGCAUGCUACAAGCACAACAAUCAAGCAAAACUAGGACAAGCUUUAAUCCUUCCAAAUUGGGUGGAGUGGCUACUUUGCUUGUACGAGAAAGGCUAAACUGGCCUCCCUAGAACUCUAGAGUCCUCAAAGGCACCAGGAGGAGGAGGAUAAAGAAAAAAGAACAGAAGUGGAUUUAAAAUGAAAAUGGUGUUUUCAUGCACAAAAUGAAAGCCACAUGACAUCAUGGAAAUGCACUGUCGCAGCAUUUCCAAGAGUGAGAAAACAGGUAUUACAGGUCACUUGGUGGCAGAGGCACGUUCACCUCAAAAGAAGCUGAGCAUUCACAGUCAACACCUGGGUCACAAUACAGGGAAUAAUUCAGUAUCUUGUCUUUGAUUUGUAGCUCUAUUUUGUUUUGUUUUGUUUUUUAGUGUAUAAGAACUAUAAAUAAAAGAACAUUAUAUUCCUCCUUUAUAUUUGCCAGUUUA
Long non-coding RNA from Canis lupus familiaris (dog), 577 nucleotides. RefSeq lists it as uncharacterized. The transcript is spliced from 3 exons. The record is from RefSeq and is a predicted model, not a curated record. NCBI's taxonomy places the organism in Eukaryota, Metazoa, Chordata, Mammalia, Carnivora, Canidae.